CAGGGCCCUGUGCCUGUCUGACUCCUGAUUGGGACACACCUGGAGGAGAAACACACCUGGAACAGGCCCCUGUGCCUCUCUGACUCCUGAUUGGGACACACCUGGAGGAGAAACACAUGUGGAACAGGGCCCUGUGUCUGUCUGACUCCUGACUGGGAUCUAUCUGAAUGGGGAUCCCACCUGGAACAGGGACCUGUGCCUGUCUGACUCCUGAUUGGGAUCUAUCUGAAUGGGGAUCCCAGCUGGAACAGG
Molecule: non-coding RNA, 252 nt
Organism: Zonotrichia albicollis (white-throated sparrow)
Lineage: Eukaryota; Metazoa; Chordata; Aves; Passeriformes; Passerellidae
Source: RefSeq, a predicted model, not a curated record